RNAcentral lists this ribosomal RNA (455 nucleotides) under uncultured Hyphomicrobiales bacterium. Its description in RNAcentral is "bacterial SSU rRNA". It matches the Rfam family "Bacterial small subunit ribosomal RNA", at positions 201 to 675 of the family's 1533-position model. The record is from RNAcentral. Lineage: Bacteria; Pseudomonadati; Pseudomonadota; Alphaproteobacteria; Hyphomicrobiales.
CGAAAGAUUUAUCGGCUUAAGAUGAGCCCGCGUUGGAUUAGCUAGUUGGUGGGGUAAAGGCCUACCAAGGCGACGAUCCAUAGCUGGUCUGAGAGGAUGAUCAGCCACACUGGGACUGAGACACGGCCCAGACUCCUACGGGAGGCAGCAGUGGGGAAUAUUGGACAAUGGGCGGAAGCCUGAUCCAGCCAUGCCGCGUGAGUGAAGAAGGCCUUAGGGUUGUAAAGCUCUUUCANCGGUGAAGAUAAUGACGGUAACCGGAGAAGAAGCCCCGGCUAACUUCGUGCCAGCAGCCGCGGUAAUACGAAGGGGGCUAGCGUUGUUCGGAUUUACUGGGCGUAAAGCGCGCGUAGGCGGAUAGAUAAGUCAGAGGUGAAAUCCCGGGGCUCAACCCCGGAAUUGCCUUUGAUACUGUUUAUCUUGAGUGCAGAAGAGGNNAAGUGGAAUUCCGAGUG